GCCAACACUUGUUAUUUCUUGUCUUCAUGAUGACAGCCAUUCUGACAGCUUUCCCGGAGAUGCUGUCAUCAUGCUCAUGACCAAUUCUGCAUUCCUGCCGGGGAGAAGGAACAAAAGAAGGGAAGAGGUGCUCCUUCUCUUUAAGGGCACAAACUCAGCAGACCUAUGAACUGCAAUGGAGAAAGUUAAAAGAUCAGGAGAUAUGGUCAUCAAGGAUAAGCUUGGGUUAUCAUCCCAUAGCAAUCAAUACUCUUCAGCUGGCCGGCUCCUGCUCAUUCUUUAGGUCUAGGUAAAUGUUACACACUCUUAUUCUCUUUCAU
Delphinapterus leucas (beluga whale) is the source of this 320-nucleotide non-coding RNA. The record is from RefSeq and is a predicted model, not a curated record. NCBI's taxonomy places the organism in Eukaryota, Metazoa, Chordata, Mammalia, Artiodactyla, Monodontidae.